Molecule: non-coding RNA, 342 nt
Organism: Rattus rattus (black rat)
Lineage: Eukaryota; Metazoa; Chordata; Mammalia; Rodentia; Muridae
Source: the annotation of a RefSeq genome assembly
AUGGGGAUAUUGAUUUUGUCUCCACUCCUAGGUGCCCGGUGUGACAUCCAGUUGAUCCAGUCUCCAUCCACAUUGCCUGCAUCUCUGGGAGAGAGAGUCACCAUCAGUUGCAGGGCAAGUCAGAGUAUUAGCAAUAGUUUAAACUGGUAUCAGCAGAAACCAGAUGGAACUGUUAAACGCCUGAUCUACUCCACAUCCACUUUAGAAUCUGGUGUCCCAUCAAGGUUCAGUGGCAGUGGGUCUGGGACAGAUUAUUCUCUCUCCAUCAGCAGUCUUGAGUCUGAAGAUUUUGCAAUGUAUUACUGUCUACAGUAUGCUACUUAUCCUCACACAGUGAUAUAA